Molecule: ribosomal RNA, 2551 nt
Filed under: Escherichia coli
Lineage: Bacteria; Pseudomonadati; Pseudomonadota; Gammaproteobacteria; Enterobacterales; Enterobacteriaceae
Description: partial 23S ribosomal RNA
Rfam family: Bacterial large subunit ribosomal RNA
Source: RNAcentral
UAGGGCGGGACACGUGGUAUCCUGUCUGAAUAUGGGGGGACCAUCCUCCAAGGCUAAAUACUCCUGACUGACCGAUAGUGAACCAGUACCGUGAGGGAAAGGCGAAAAGAACCCCGGCGAGGGGAGUGAAAAAGAACCUGAAACCGUGUACGUACAAGCAGUGGGAGCACAGAGCAAUCUGUGUGACUGCGUACCUUUUGUAUAAUGGGUCAGCGACUUAUAUUCUGUAGCAAGGUUAACCGAAUAGGGGAGCCGAAGGGAAACCGAGUCUUAACUGGGCGUUAAGUUGCAGGGUAUAGACCCGAAACCCGGUGAUCUAGCCAUGGGCAGGUUGAAGGUUGGGUAACACUAACUGGAGGACCGAACCGACUAAUGUUGAAAAAUUAGCGGAUGACUUGUGGCUGGGGGUGAAAGGCCAAUCAAACCGGGAGAUAGCUGGUUCUCCCCGAAAGCUAUUUAGGUAGCGCCUCGUGAAUUCAUCUCCGGGGGUAGAGCACUGUUUCGGCAAGGGGGUCAUCCCGACUUACCAACCCGAUGCAAACUGCGAAUACCGGAGAAUGUUAUCACGGGAGACACACGGCGGGUGCUAACGUCCGUCGUGAAGAGGGAAACAACCCAGACCGCCAGCUAAGGUCCCAAAGUCAUGGUUAAGUGGGAAACGAUGUGGGAAGGCCCAGACAGCCAGGAUGUUGGCUUAGAAGCAGCCAUCAUUUAAAGAAAGCGUAAUAGCUCACUGGUCGAGUCGGCCUGCGCGGAAGAUGUAACGGGGCUAAACCAUGCACCGAAGCUGCGGCAGCGACACUGUGUGUUGUUGGGUAGGGGAGCGUUCUGUAAGCCUGUGAAGGUGUACUGUGAGGUAUGCUGGAGGUAUCAGAAGUGCGAAUGCUGACAUAAGUAACGAUAAAGCGGGUGAAAAGCCCGCUCGCCGGAAGACCAAGGGUUCCUGUCCAACGUUAAUCGGGGCAGGGUGAGUCGACCCCUAAGGCGAGGCCGAAAGGCGUAGUCGAUGGGAAACAGGUUAAUAUUCCUGUACUUGGUGUUACUGCGAAGGGGGGACGGAGAAGGCUAUGUUGGCCGGGCGACGGUUGUCCCGGUUUAAGCGUGUAGGCUGGUUUUCCAGGCAAAUCCGGAAAAUCAAGGCUGAGGCGUGAUGACGAGGCACUACGGUGCUGAAGCAACAAAUGCCCUGCUUCCAGGAAAAGCCUCUAAGCAUCAGGUAACAUCAAAUCGUACCCCAAACCGACACAGGUGGUCAGGUAGAGAAUACCAAGGCGCUUGAGAGAACUCGGGUGAAGGAACUAGGCAAAAUGGUGCCGUAACUUCGGGAGAAGGCACGCUGAUAUGUAGGUGAAGUCCCUCGCGGAUGGAGCUGAAAUCAGUCGAAGAUACCAGCUGGCUGCAACUGUUUAUUAAAAACACAGCACUGUGCAAACACGAAAGUGGACGUAUACGGUGUGACGCCUGCCCGGUGCCGGAAGGUUAAUUGAUGGGGUCAGCGCAAGCGAAGCUCUUGAUCGAAGCCCCGGUAAACGGCGGCCGUAACUAUAACGGUCCUAAGGUAGCGAAAUUCCUUGUCGGGUAAGUUCCGACCUGCACGAAUGGCGUAAUGAUGGCCAGGCUGUCUCCACCCGAGACUCAGUGAAAUUGAACUCGCUGUGAAGAUGCAGUGUACCCGCGGCAAGACGGAAAGACCCCGUGAACCUUUACUAUAGCUUGACACUGAACAUUGAGCCUUGAUGUGUAGGAUAGGUGGGAGGCUUUGAAGUGUGGACGCCAGUCUGCAUGGAGCCGACCUUGAAAUACCACCCUUUAAUGUUUGAUGUUCUAACGUGGACCCGUGAUCCGGGUUGCGGACAGUGUCUGGUGGGUAGUUUGACUGGGGCGGUCUCCUCCUAAAGAGUAACGGAGGAGCACGAAGGUUGGCUAAUCCUGGUCGGACAUCAGGAGGUUAGUGCAAUGGCAUAAGCCAGCUUGACUGCGAGCGUGACGGCGCGAGCAGGUGCGAAAGCAGGUCAUAGUGAUCCGGUGGUUCUGAAUGGAAGGGCCAUCGCUCAACGGAUAAAAGGUACUCCGGGGAUAACAGGCUGAUACCGCCCAAGAGUUCAUAUCGACGGCGGUGUUUGGCACCUCGAUGUCGGCUCAUCACAUCCUGGGGCUGAAGUAGGUCCCAAGGGUAUGGCUGUUCGCCAUUUAAAGUGGUACGCGAGCUGGGUUUAGAACGUCGUGAGACAGUUCGGUCCCUAUCUGCCGUGGGCGCUGGAGAACUGAGGGGGGCUGCUCCUAGUACGAGAGGACCGGAGUGGACGCAUCACUGGUGUUCGGGUUGUCAUGCCAAUGGCACUGCCCGGUAGCUAAAUGCGGAAGAGAUAAGUGCUGAAAGCAUCUAAGCACGAAACUUGCCCCGAGAUGAGUUCUCCCUGACCCUUUAAGGGUCCUGAAGGAACGUUGAAGACGACGACGUUGAUAGGCCGGGUGUGUAAGCGCAGCGAUGCGUUGAGCUAACCGGUACUAAUGAACCGUGAGGCUUAACCUUACAACGCCGAAGGUGUUU